UUGGAGGGCAAGUCUGGUGCCAGCAGCCGCGGUAAUUCCAGCUCCAAUAGCGUAUAUUAAAGUUGUUGCAGUUAAAAAGCUCGUAGUUGAAUUUCGGGAUCAAUGGAUUGGUCAUGCCGUUGGUAUGUACUGAUUUUAUUGAUUCUCACCUUCUAAAGAAUCAUAAUGCCAUUAAUUUGGUGUUGUGAGGAAUUAGGACUGUUACCUUGAAAAAAUUAGAGUGUUUAAAGCAGGCUUACGCUUGAAUACAUUAGCAUGGAAUAACGAAAUAGGACAUCGCAUUCUAUUUUGUUGGUUUCUAGGAUCGAUGUAAUGAUUAAUAGGGAUAGUUGGGGGCAUUAGUAUUCAAUUGUCAGAGGUGAAAUUCUUGGAUUUAUUGAAGACUAACUACUGCGAAAGCAUUUGCCAAGGAUGUUUUCAUUAAUCAAGAACGAAAGUUAGGGGAUCGAAGACGAUCAGAUACCGUCGUAGUCUUAACCAUAAACUAUGCCGACUAGGGAUCGGAUGAUGUUAAUUUUUUAAUGACUCAUUCCGCACCUUACGGGAAAC
Molecule: ribosomal RNA, 549 nt
Filed under: uncultured Glomus
Lineage: Eukaryota; Fungi; Glomeromycota; Glomeromycetes; Glomerales; Glomeraceae
Description: SSU rRNA
Rfam family: Eukaryotic small subunit ribosomal RNA
Source: RNAcentral